Molecule: long non-coding RNA, 447 nt
Filed under: Fragaria vesca (wild strawberry)
Lineage: Eukaryota; Viridiplantae; Streptophyta; Magnoliopsida; Rosales; Rosaceae
Description: long non-coding RNA (FVES_LNC001517)
Source: RNAcentral
GGCAGGGGUACCAAGAUCUGCCUUCACCUGAAGGAGGACCAACUUGAGUACCUUGAAGAGCGCAGGCUCAAGGAUUUGAUCAAGAAGCACUCCGAGUUCAUCAGCUACCCUAUUUCAUUGUGGAUUGAGAAGACCACUGAGAAGGAGAUCUCUGAUGAUGAGGAUGAAGAAGAAAAGAAGGAAGAGGAAGGAAAGGUGGAGGAAGUUGAUGAAGAGAAGGAAAAGGAGGAGAAGAAAAAGAAGAAAAUUCAGGAGAUUUCUCACGAAUGGUCUUUGGUGAACAAGCAAAAGCCUAUCUGGAUGAGGAAGCCAGAAGAGAUCAACAAGGAAGAGUACUCAGCAUUCUACAAGAGUCUUACCAAUGACUGGGAAGAGCACCUUUCUGUCAAGCACUUCUCAGUUGAGGGUCAGCUGGAAUUCAAGGCCAUCCUCUUUGUUCCCAAGAGG